UAGGGGCUUUUACCGUGUGAGCUCCUUUAAUGCCGGGGUCUGCAGUGAGAGCUGGUGAUGAAGCUCCUGCCGGUGUGGAGCUUACAUCCCUAAGGGAGCGUUUAUUUAAUCAGUAAAUAAACCACUCACCAUGAAAGUAUUGAGUUCUGUCUCCUGCCUUUCAGGAGUUCUAAAUCUAUGUCUUUGAAAUCCAUUUCCAUUCGUCUCAGCCUUACCAGCCAUAACUUUAGAUGAGAGGAGGCUAUCUCUUUCGUGCUGCAAAAGGCUUGGACUUAGUUUUAGAACUGGAAGGGACUGGUGAUAGCGUAGGUCCAUAUUUAGCUUUUGGACCCCAGGUAUCACCUUAGCUGUAACUUUCAACGGAUUGACCCAGUGGUAACGUCUGAAUAGAAGGAGGGUUGAGGGGAUAUGGUGUGGAAUGGGGGAAGGAGGAGUCUGAAAUAGAAGAAAGAUUUGCUUCUCAUUGUCUACCUUUUUUAGUACAGUUUGAAUUUUUCCAUAUGUUUGUAUUACUUUUUCAAUUAAAAAGCCAGGUUUAAAAAAUGACCCCACAUUAAAAAGUAGCAACGUAGGCGUGAGCCACACACCUGGCCAGCUCUGUUAUUAUUACCAAGAAUUUGCCUGU
This 625-nucleotide long non-coding RNA is filed under the name Homo sapiens (human). RNAcentral describes it as "HSALNT0146323". The record is from RNAcentral. Lineage: Eukaryota; Metazoa; Chordata; Mammalia; Primates; Hominidae.